RNAcentral lists this unclassified non-coding RNA (28 nucleotides) under Dictyostelium discoideum. The record is from RNAcentral. Lineage: Eukaryota; Evosea; Eumycetozoa; Dictyosteliales; Dictyosteliaceae.
GGGGGUUCGAUUCCCGUUCUGAAUACCA